Molecule: non-coding RNA, 77 nt
Organism: Potamilus streckersoni
Lineage: Eukaryota; Metazoa; Mollusca; Bivalvia; Unionida; Unionidae
Source: the annotation of a GenBank genome assembly
GACUGCUUUGGUCUAAUAGUGGUUAGAGUGUCUGUCUCCGAUGCAGGAGGUAAUGGGUUCAAACCCCAGCUGAGUCA